Gallus gallus (chicken) is the source of this 781-nucleotide long non-coding RNA. RefSeq lists it as uncharacterized. The transcript is spliced from 3 exons. The record is from RefSeq and is a predicted model, not a curated record. Lineage: Eukaryota; Metazoa; Chordata; Aves; Galliformes; Phasianidae.
GCUCAUUGCAUGUCUUCUCACUCUGUGUUGCUUGAGCACUCUCAUGGCCUCUUGUGUUCCCCUGCAACAAGCUGUGCCAUAUAGCUGGAUUCUCAAAUCCACCCUGUGUGAUCUGCCUGCUGGAGAGUCUGGAGCCAUGGAACAACAGAUCACCUGAGAAUAAACCCAAGCACCAAUAAAAUUUUGUGUUUACCCUGGAUGUCUUGAAAUACCAUGGCUCUCAGGAAUUACUUUGUUGUUUUAUUUAAAGGAUGAAUAGGAAUUACCUUCUGAAAGACAUACAAGUAUUUCUGUGCAUUUUGGAAUUUGGGGUAAUUUUAAAAAUAAAUCUGAAUAAGAAUUUUGUGCUUUCAAAUGCUGUUUUAAACUUUGGUAUUUUCCUCUCUUCAAUUGGUAGUAGAGGAAGAGAGCUGAGGCUUUUUUAGCUAUCUGUCAUAUUGCCACUUAGUAGUCUGUCAUAAUGCCACUUAGUAGUCUGUAGUUAAGGCUAAAGUAAGCUGCUUUUUAAAAUUGGAAUGGUCUGAAUGACCAGCCAAUAUGGAGUUUUAUUUCUGCAUUUCUGAAUUUGAGAUUUAAUUAUUGUCAAUUGAAGAUAAAUUUAAAAUAGAUUCUUAAAGUCUUGCACCAUCCAUUGUCAUACUACUUUGUUCAAUUACAAGUUCAGUUGUAAGUUCAAAAUAGUAAGCCCUUUAAAAGAAGUUCCUUGUAAGAAGUUCCUUAAGAGAAGCCUUGUAAAAAACUUUGCAUGCUAUAUUGUGAAAUCUUGAGAAAUUAAUAAUUU